This 310-nucleotide long non-coding RNA is filed under the name Lathyrus oleraceus (garden pea). RNAcentral describes it as "Pisum sativum (pea) long non-coding RNA (PSAT_LNC009802)". The record is from RNAcentral. Lineage: Eukaryota; Viridiplantae; Streptophyta; Magnoliopsida; Fabales; Fabaceae.
GAUGUCUGACCUCAUGGUAGCUUGGUUAGCCUCCACUUGCUCUAAUGUCAUCUUGUAGUUGCUUCGCGUCUCGUACCGGUGUUGAUUAGUCAGCGUUACUGGAUAGAGGGCAAAAGGUUGGGUAAGUUUUUUUUGUUUUUAUGAAGCGUGAUGCAUGAGGAUGCGAAUGUUAUGCAUAUUUUAUUUUCAGGGAAUUUUCAUCACGGUUGUAGUUAUAUUAAUCAUUCGAAGAAAACAUAAAGUCAGGAAAUAAAAAUGAGGAUCAUCCUCCUCCAUUCAAAUGUUUAAAGUACGGAGUACAAAGGCAUAA